GCAGAGAACCUGUUACACCUAUAUUGUAGAAAAACAUCCAACAUUGAUUUGAAAGUCAUCAGUGAUGGAGCAUCCACCACAACCCUUGUUGUCACUUGUCAGUGUGAGAACCAAGCUCCACUCUAAGCUGAUGAUCUGAUCAAUGUGAUACACCCGACACAGAGAGGUUACUUCCACCAGAAACCCGAAGAAUUGGCAGCAAACUGGACACAGCACCUAGGAAUGUGACUCAGACUCUUGGUCUAAACACUAGAUAAACCUGCCUCUCAUACUGAAAUCUCUUGUACACAGGUG
Molecule: long non-coding RNA, 294 nt
Organism: Mauremys mutica (yellowpond turtle)
Lineage: Eukaryota; Metazoa; Chordata; Testudines; Geoemydidae
Exons: 3
Source: RefSeq, a predicted model, not a curated record